Molecule: ribosomal RNA, 402 nt
Filed under: uncultured bacterium
Lineage: Bacteria
Description: bacterial SSU rRNA
Rfam family: Bacterial small subunit ribosomal RNA
Source: RNAcentral
UAGGGAAUAUUGGUAAUGUGCGAAAGCGCGAACCAGCAACGCCGCGUGCACGAUGAAGGCCUUCGGGUUGUAAAGUGCUUUUAGAGAGGAUGAGGAAGGACAGUACUUUCUGAAUAAGCCUCGGCUAACUACGUGCCAGCAGCCGCGGUAAAACGUAGGAGGCUAGCGUUAUCCGGAUUUACUGGGCGUAAAGCGCGUGCAGGUGGUUUCGUAAGUUGGAUGUGAAAGCUCCUGGCUUAACUGGGAGAGGUCGUUCAAAACUGCGAGGCUUGAGAGUGGUAGAGGGAGGUGGAAUUCCGGGUGUAGUGGUGAAAUGCGUAGAUAUCCGGAGGAACACCAGUGGCGAAAGCGGCCCCCUGGACCAUUUCUGACACUCAGACGCGAAAGCUAAGGUAGCAAACG